Molecule: long non-coding RNA, 196 nt
Organism: Mytilus californianus (California mussel)
Lineage: Eukaryota; Metazoa; Mollusca; Bivalvia; Mytilida; Mytilidae
Exons: 4
Source: RefSeq, a predicted model, not a curated record
GGAAGUUGGAGACAGUGAAGAUGAAGAUGAAGAUAUAGAUGAAGAUUUCUCAAUGGAAUUUGCAGAUUUUGAAAAAAUGCGGAUGCUGACUUAUGUCAAUGAAAUCAUGCACUGUGAGAACAGUAAUUGUGAUGAGGCUGAUCAUGAGCGCCACCAUCAGUUUAUUGGCAGCCCUGAAAUGAUAGUCAAUAGAGAG